CCUACGGGCGGCAGCAGUAGGGAAUCUUUCACAAUGGGCGAAAGCCUGAUGGAGCAACGCCGCGUGCAGGAUGAAGGCCUUCGGGUUGUAAACUGCUUUUAUAAGCGAGAAAUAUGAUGGUAACUUAUGAAUAAGGAUCGGCUAACUACGUGCCAGCAGCCGCGGUCAUACGUAGGAUCCGAGCAUUAUCCGGAGUGACUGGGUGUAAAGAGUUGCGUAGGUGGCAUAAUAAGUAGCUAGUGAAAUCUGGUGGCUAAACCAUUCAGACUAUUAGCUAAACUGUUAAGCUCGAGACCGUUAGGGGUAACUAGAAUGUCUAGUGUAGGAGUGAAAUCCGUAGAUAUUAGAAGGAACACCAAUAGCGUAGGCAGGUUGCUGGGACGGUUCUGACACUAAGGCACGAAAGCGUAGGGAGCAAACGGGAUUAGAUACCCGGGUAGUC
RNAcentral lists this ribosomal RNA (442 nucleotides) under uncultured bacterium. Its description in RNAcentral is "partial 16S ribosomal RNA". It matches the Rfam family "Bacterial small subunit ribosomal RNA", at positions 338 to 795 of the family's 1533-position model. The record is from RNAcentral.